Molecule: long non-coding RNA, 1566 nt
Organism: Triticum aestivum (bread wheat)
Lineage: Eukaryota; Viridiplantae; Streptophyta; Magnoliopsida; Poales; Poaceae
Exons: 5
Source: RefSeq, a predicted model, not a curated record
CAUUGUAGCUAGUCUGAGCCCAAGCCCACUCUCUGUCUGUUUCUUCUCCUCUCCCGAUUCCCACCCACAUCGCCGCCGCCGCCUCACCCACCGGCCACCUCGUCGCCGUGCUACCCACAGCCGCCCACCCUCCCUGCCCUCCCCUCACCACCUUCUCUCCCUUGGCGGAAGGAUCCCCUUCGACUCCCGUCGCCAUUCCUGACGACCCCGAAAUCUCCUCUCCUCGAGUUCAGAUCCGCACCACUCCAACCUACAGACGAUGGCGUCGGCGAGGCUGGCCCCGAACGGCGUGGGGGCGGCGCUGGCGGGGGACACGAACCUCAAGCCCGUCGCGCACAUCUUCGCCGGGCAACUCAGCUACCUCCGCGGCACCGUCGUGCAGCUCGUCGAGUAGGACGGAGAUGCUCCUCCACAGUCGCUGCUGCACCGGGAGAGGAGGAGUUGGCGGCCACUCCUCCCGACGACGAGAUGCGUGGCUGGCUGCUCCCCCUCUCUCGCCCAUCUCCUCCUCACCGCCGACCUCGGCCCCAGCAAGCUCCACCCUCCAACGCAGGGACCUUAACACUUGUAUGUAAGCGUGGAGAGAGUUUGAUGGUGAUCAGGGGGUGGUAGUACAUUUGUAGCUGUAGCCAACACUUGGUUUUGUAUUUGGCACAAGUGGAGAGGUGCGUCGAUGACCCGUUGAUAUUCAGUUGCUGGGCAUCGUCCCCGUCAUGGCAUCCGUCUUCCAGCACACCAACGAGUGGUCCUCGCAGACGAUAUUGAUGAGGGCAUGCUUUCUGGUGCUUCUGCUUGUGGCCAGACAUGUGGUACGUACCUGCACCCGCGCGCUCCCUUUCUUCAAUUGUCACAAUGACCGGCGCUGAUCGCCUGCUGUCCUACGCGCGAAAAACACCAAAUGCUACUUAGGAGUACAUACCAGGAGCAUGAGAUGGCCAAAGUUGUUCUGGAUCUCAGUGUGUGCUCCCUUGGCGUCCGUCAUCGUAUCCACCCUGCUCGUCUUCCUGUUCAAAGCGCAGAACCAUGCCAUCAGCAUCGUAGGAGAACAACAAAGACUGAGCUUCCGCCGCAGAUUAGGUCACUUAAAUGUGGCUUGAAUUGCCCCUCGUGGGACAAACUGCUCUUCGAUCUGACAUAUCUUGGACUUGCCAUGAAGACCGGCCUCGCCUCGUCACCGGAAUCAUCUCCCCUACAGAAGGAGUAGCAGUCGGUAUUUGCUUCAAUCAAGGACUACCAGGUGGAUGGCAACAAAGAGAUGAUGGCCACUGGGUUGAUGAGCAUUGUGGGCUCAUCUCCAGGAGAGGUGCGUCGAUGACCCGUCGAUAUUCAGUUGCUGAAGAAGGAAAGAUGGUGGCGAGUAGCAAGACGAAAUCAUUCACGGCUUAGUUAGUUUGUCAUGGUGUCAGAAUAGCUGAGUUGCUGUCGUGUUCAAUUUUUGUUGUGGAACAUAUCUCUCGCAGUUGGUAGUCUUGACUUUUUGUUCAUCACAAUCCUUAUUCGUCCAUUGCCAUAUAACUCUUUUAUACUGUUAUGCUGCUGGAAAUUUUAGCCAGAAAAUGGCCCAGA